AUGGAGCUCAAGGCCAUGAGCAGGCAUACCAGCCCAGUGAACCCAGCUGUCUUCCUCCAUCUGACCAUGGUGUUGUUGGCCACUGGCCUGUUGUUCACUGCCUGGUUCUCUGUUUACGAGGUAACCUCCACCAGGUACACAUGGGAUACCUACAAAGAGCUCCUCAUCUCCUUGGUGGCCUCACUCUUCAUGGACUUUGGGGUCCUCUUCCUGCUGUUCUGGGUCGGCAUCUACAUAUGACUCCCAAGGAUACCAACCAGGUAGCUUCACUGAAUCCCUGCUUUUGUAAAUUAGUUUUUUUUUUUUCUUUAACUAUUGCUGGAAGAGUCCCGCCUGCUGCUCACAAUAAAGGCAGAU
This is an RNA transcript of Trichechus manatus latirostris (Florida manatee), 357 nucleotides long. It is a transcript of the gene named transmembrane protein 258 pseudogene, with no coding region annotated. The transcript has a single exon. The record is from RefSeq and is a predicted model, not a curated record. Lineage: Eukaryota; Metazoa; Chordata; Mammalia; Sirenia; Trichechidae.